Molecule: ribosomal RNA, 199 nt
Filed under: Salmonella enterica subsp. enterica serovar 4,12:d:-
Lineage: Bacteria; Pseudomonadati; Pseudomonadota; Gammaproteobacteria; Enterobacterales; Enterobacteriaceae
Description: partial 16S ribosomal RNA
Rfam family: Bacterial small subunit ribosomal RNA
Source: RNAcentral
AAAUUGAAGAGUUUGAUCAUGGCUCAGAUUGAACGCUGGCGGCAGGCCUAACACAUGCAAGUCGAACGGUAACACAGAGAGCUUGCUCUCGGGUGACGAGUGGCGGACGGGUGAGUAAUGUCUGGGAAACUGCCUGAUGGAGGGGGAUAACUACUGGAAACGGUGGCUAAUACCGCAUAACGUCGCAAGACCAAAGAGG